This 2712-nucleotide ribosomal RNA is filed under the name Klebsiella pneumoniae. Its description in RNAcentral is "partial 23S ribosomal RNA". It matches the Rfam family "Bacterial large subunit ribosomal RNA". Lineage: Bacteria; Pseudomonadati; Pseudomonadota; Gammaproteobacteria; Enterobacterales; Enterobacteriaceae. The record is from RNAcentral.
CCGGCGAUGUCCGAAUGGGGAAACCCAGUGCAAUUCGUUGCACUAUCGUUAACUGAAUACAUAGGUUAACGAGGCGAACCGGGGGAACUGAAACAUCUAAGUACCCCGAGGAAAAGAAAUCAACCGAGAUUCCCCCAGUAGCGGCGAGCGAACGGGGAGCAGCCCAGAGUCUGAAUCAGCUUGUGUGUUAGUGGAACGGUCUGGAAAGUCCGACGGUACAGGGUGAUAGUCCCGUACACCAAAAUGCACAGGCUGUGAACUCGAAGAGUAGGGCGGGACACGUGGUAUCCUGUCUGAAUAUGGGGGGACCAUCCUCCAAGGCUAAAUACUCCUGACUGACCGAUAGUGAACCAGUACCGUGAGGGAAAGGCGAAAAGAACCCCGGCGAGGGGAGUGAAAAAGAACCUGAAACCGUGUACGUACAAGCAGUGGGAGCACCUUCGGGUGUGACUGCGUACCUUUUGUAUAAUGGGUCAGCGACUUAUAUUCUGUAGCAAGGUUAACCGUAUAGGGGAGCCGCAGGGAAACCGAGUCUUAACUGGGCGUUAAGUUGCAGGGUAUAGACCCGAAACCCGGUGAUCUAGCCAUGGGCAGGUUGAAGGUUGGGUAACACUAACUGGAGGACCGAACCGACUAAUGUUGAAAAAUUAGCGGAUGACUUGUGGCUGGGGGUGAAAGGCCAAUCAAACCGGGAGAUAGCUGGUUCUCCCCGAAAGCUAUUUAGGUAGCGCCUCGUGAACUCAUCUUCGGGGGUAGAGCACUGUUUCGGCUAGGGGGUCAUCCCGACUUACCAACCCGAUGCAAACUACGAAUACCGAAGAAUGUUAUCACGGGAGACACACGGCGGGUGCUAACGUCCGUCGUGAAGAGGGAAACAACCCAGACCGCCAGCUAAGGUCCCAAAGUCAUGGUUAAGUGGGAAACGAUGUGGGAAGGCACAGACAGCCAGGAUGUUGGCUUAGAAGCAGCCAUCAUUUAAAGAAAGCGUAAUAGCUCACUGGUCGAGUCGGCCUGCGCGGAAGAUGUAACGGGGCUAAACCAUGCACCGAAGCUGCGGCAGCGACACUAUGUGUUGUUGGGUAGGGGAGCGUUCUGUAAGCCUGCGAAGGUGUGCUGUGAGGCAUGCUGGAGGUAUCAGAAGUGCGAAUGCUGACAUAAGUAACGAUAAAGCGGGUGAAAAGCCCGCUCGCCGGAAGACCAAGGGUUCCUGUCCAACGUUAAUCGGGGCAGGGUGAGUCGACCCCUAAGGCGAGGCCGAAAGGCGUAGUCGAUGGGAAACAGGUUAAUAUUCCUGUACUUGGUGUUACUGCGAAGGGGGGACGGAGAAGGCUAUGUUAGCCGGGCGACGGUUGUCCCGGUUUAAGCAUGUAGGCUGAUUGUCCAGGCAAAUCCGGAUAAUCAAGGCUGAGGUGUGAUGACGAGGCACUACGGUGCUGAAGUAACAAAUGCCCUGCUUCCAGGAAAAGCCUCUAAGCAUCAGGUAACAUCAAAUCGUACCCCAAACCGACACAGGUGGUCAGGUAGAGAAUACCAAGGCGCUUGAGAGAACUCGGGUGAAGGAACUAGGCAAAAUGGUGCCGUAACUUCGGGAGAAGGCACGCUGGUGUGUAGGUGAAGCCCCUGCGGGUGGAGCUGAGACCAGUCGAAGAUACCAGCUGGCUGCAACUGUUUAUUAAAAACACAGCACUGUGCAAACACGAAAGUGGACGUAUACGGUGUGACGCCUGCCCGGUGCCGGAAGGUUAAUUGAUGGGGUUAUCCGUAAGGAGAAGCUCUUGAUCGAAGCCCCGGUAAACGGCGGCCGUAACUAUAACGGUCCUAAGGUAGCGAAAUUCCUUGUCGGGUAAGUUCCGACCUGCACGAAUGGCGUAAUGAUGGCCAGGCUGUCUCCACCCGAGACUCAGUGAAAUUGAACUCGCUGUGAAGAUGCAGUGUACCCGCGGCAAGACGGAAAGACCCCGUGAACCUUUACUAUAGCUUGACACUGAACAUUGAGCCUUGAUGUGUAGGAUAGGUGGGAGGCUUUGAAGCGUGGACGCCAGUCUGCGUGGAGCCAACCUUGAAAUACCACCCUUUAAUGUUUGAUGUUCUAACGUUGGCCCCUUACCGGGGUUGCGGACAGUGUCUGGUGGGUAGUUUGACUGGGGCGGUCUCCUCCCAAAGCGUAACGGAGGAGCACGAAGGUUAGCUAAUCCUGGUCGGACAUCAGGAGGUUAGUGCAAUGGCAUAAGCUAGCUUGACUGCGAGCGUGACGGCGCGAGCAGGUGCGAAAGCAGGUCAUAGUGAUCCGGUGGUUCUGAAUGGAAGGGCCAUCGCUCAACGGAUAAAAGGUACUCCGGGGAUAACAGGCUGAUACCGCCCAAGAGUUCAUAUCGACGGCGGUGUUUGGCACCUCGAUGUCGGCUCAUCACAUCCUGGGGCUGAAGUAGGUCCCAAGGGUAUGGCUGUUCGCCAUUUAAAGUGGUACGCGAGCUGGGUUUAGAACGUCGUGAGACAGUUCGGUCCCUAUCUGCCGUGGGCGCUGGAGAAUUGAGGGGGGCUGCUCCUAGUACGAGAGGACCGGAGUGGACGCAUCACUGGUGUUCGGGUUGUCAUGCCAAUGGCACUGCCCGGUAGCUAAAUGCGGAAGAGAUAAGUGCUGAAAGCAUCUAAGCACGAAACUUGCCCCGAGAUGAGUUCUCCCUGAGACUUUAAGUCUCCUGAAGGAACGUU